Molecule: ribosomal RNA, 253 nt
Filed under: uncultured bacterium
Lineage: Bacteria
Description: partial 16S ribosomal RNA
Rfam family: Bacterial small subunit ribosomal RNA
Source: RNAcentral
UACAGAGGGUGCAAGCGUUGUUCGGAAUUACUGGGCGUAAAGCGCGUGUAGGCGGCGGUAUAAGUCGAAUGUGAAAUCCCUCAGCUCAACUGAGGAAGUGCAUCCGAUACUGUAUCGCUUGAGUACCGGAGGGGAUGGCGGAAUUCCAGGUGUAGCGGUGAAAUGCGUAGAUAUCUGGAGGAACACCGGUGGCGAAGGCGGCGUCCUGGACCAAUACUGACACUGAUGAGCGAAAGCCAGGGGAGCAAACGGG